UAUUCCUACUCACAGAUCUUGAGUGAUUUUUUUUAAUUAUUUCCUAAAUAAAAUUCCCGGCCAACGGAGUCCGGAGCCGUCCAACAAGAUUGUUCCUCACGCCGGCGUGCCCCCCGCCACCGCGCGCCAUCGCCGUAGAGGCUACCACUGGGACUUCGAGGUCGCUCCUCUCUCCAUCUGGGCCGCCGCCCCUCUCGCGCACCGCGCGGCCUCUCUCCCUGCCCCUCGCCCUCGCCACCUCGCCGAUGGCCUCCGGCUGUGCGGCGGCGGCGGGAUGCUGGCUUCUCCCAGCCGAUAUCUAGGCCCUGAUCCGAGAGAUUUUGACAUGGAUCUAUGAAUAUGGCCAGCAGCACUAAAUUAAAAGGUGAGGAGAGGCUGGAUAAGCCCAAAGGGUGCCCCCACGUCUCUCCGUACUACAAUGCCGCCGAUCCUAUUAUCAUCAAUGGCAAAGGGAUUGAUCCCUUUGAGCUGAGUGAAGGUAUGGAUAAAAGAAGAGUGGCUUCAAUUCUUCAAAGUUUCACUUGAGGCAACCGAGAGAAACCACGCUGCUUCACAAGGCAAUGGCGAUUCCAAUACGGACAGUAGCAGCCUCUGGAUUCUAGAUUCUGGAAAUAAAAGAGGUAUUGCUGACCAUAAUGUGAGUAAAUGAACGAAAUCUUUUAUACUGCUGGUGUUAUCUACUUGGUUCAGAGUUUCAGACAGGAAAUUGCACCUAGUCCUAGGUAAUGUGUGAUUGUUUUGUUAGCUUUAUGAAGACAUCUUAUGUCCAAAUUGCUCUGACAGAGGGCAUUCGUCAUGCUAUCUGGCCAGCCAGUAACAUUUUCAAUUAAAAUAUCUUGAGUUUGUUUUGCAUAAGUUGUCUGCUAUGUUAAUUACCAAUCAUAAUAUAACAUAUCAGAUCCUGCACAAUGAAAGCUGGCCAGGAAAUUUGCUUUGUACUUUGUACUCACUGUCUUAUGUGGCAAUUUUUCUCA
Molecule: long non-coding RNA, 974 nt
Organism: Oryza sativa Japonica Group (Japanese rice)
Lineage: Eukaryota; Viridiplantae; Streptophyta; Magnoliopsida; Poales; Poaceae
Source: RefSeq, a predicted model, not a curated record